AGCGAACGCUGGCGGCAGGCCUAACACAUGCAAGUCGAACGGAUCCUUCGGGAUUAGUGGCGGACGGGUGAGUAACACGUGGGAACGUGCCCUUUGGUUCGGAACAACUCAGGGAAACUUGAGCUAAUACCGGAUGUGCCCUUCGGGGGAAAGAUUUAUCGCCAUUGGAGCGGCCCGCGUCUGAUUAGCUAGUUGGUGAGGUAACGGCCCACCAAGGCGACGAUCAGUAGCUGGUCUGAGAGGAUGAUCAGCCACACUGGGACUGAGACACGGCCCAGACUCCUACGGGAGGCAGCAGUGGGGAAUCUUGCGCAAUGGGCGAAAGCCUGACGCAGCCAUGCCGCGUGAAUGAUGAAGGUCUUAGGAUUGUAAAAUUCUUUCAGCGGGGACGAUAAUGACGGUACCCACAGAAGAAGCUCCGGCUAACUUCGUG
RNAcentral lists this ribosomal RNA (433 nucleotides) under uncultured bacterium. RNAcentral's name for it is "partial 16S ribosomal RNA". It matches the Rfam family "Bacterial small subunit ribosomal RNA", at positions 29 to 507 of the family's 1533-position model. The record is from RNAcentral.